This 2901-nucleotide ribosomal RNA is filed under the name Escherichia coli. RNAcentral describes it as "Bacterial large subunit ribosomal RNA". It matches the Rfam family "Bacterial large subunit ribosomal RNA". The record is from RNAcentral. Lineage: Bacteria; Pseudomonadati; Pseudomonadota; Gammaproteobacteria; Enterobacterales; Enterobacteriaceae.
GUUAAGCGACUAAGCGUACACGGUGGAUGCCCUGGCAGUCAGAGGCGAUGAAGGACGUGCUAAUCUGCGAUAAGCGUCGGUAAGGUGAUAUGAACCGUUAUAACCGGCGAUUUCCGAAUGGGGAAACCCAGUGUGAUUCGUCACACUAUCAUUAACUGAAUCCAUAGGUUAAUGAGGCGAACCGGGGGAACUGAAACAUCUAAGUACCCCGAGGAAAAGAAAUCAACCGAGAUUCCCCCAGUAGCGGCGAGCGAACGGGGAGCAGCCCAGAGCCUGAAUCAGUGUGUGUGUUAGUGGAAGCGUCUGGAAAGGCGCGCGAUACAGGGUGACAGCCCCGUACACAAAAAUGCACAUACUGUGAGCUCGAUGAGUAGGGCGGGACACGUGGUAUCCUGUCUGAAUAUGGGGGGACCAUCCUCCAAGGCUAAAUACUCCUGACUGACCGAUAGUGAACCAGUACCGUGAGGGAAAGGCGAAAAGAACCCCGGCGAGGGGAGUGAAAAAGAACCUGAAACCGUGUACGUACAAGCAGUGGGAGCCUCUUUAUGGGGUGACUGCGUACCUUUUGUAUAAUGGGUCAGCGACUUAUAUUCUGUAGCAAGGUUAACCGAAUAGGGGAGCCGAAGGGAAACCGAGUCUUAACUGGGCGUUAAGUUGCAGGGUAUAGACCCGAAACCCGGUGAUCUAGCCAUGGGCAGGUUGAAGGUUGGGUAACACUAACUGGAGGACCGAACCGACUAAUGUUGAAAAAUUAGCGGAUGACUUGUGGCUGGGGGUGAAAGGCCAAUCAAACCGGGAGAUAGCUGGUUCUCCCCGAAAGCUAUUUAGGUAGCGCCUCGUGAAUUCAUCUCCGGGGGUAGAGCACUGUUUCGGCAAGGGGGUCAUCCCGACUUACCAACCCGAUGCAAACUGCGAAUACCGGAGAAUGUUAUCACGGGAGACACACGGCGGGUGCUAACGUCCGUCGUGAAGAGGGAAACAACCCAGACCGCCAGCUAAGGUCCCAAAGUCAUGGUUAAGUGGGAAACGAUGUGGGAAGGCCCAGACAGCCAGGAUGUUGGCUUAGAAGCAGCCAUCAUUUAAAGAAAGCGUAAUAGCUCACUGGUCGAGUCGGCCUGCGCGGAAGAUGUAACGGGGCUAAACCAUGCACCGAAGCUGCGGCAGCGACACUAUGUGUUGUUGGGUAGGGGAGCGUUCUGUAAGCCUGCGAAGGUGUACUGUGAGGUAUGCUGGAGGUAUCAGAAGUGCGAAUGCUGACAUAAGUAACGAUAAAGCGGGUGAAAAGCCCGCUCGCCGGAAGACCAAGGGUUCCUGUCCAACGUUAAUCGGGGCAGGGUGAGUCGACCCCUAAGGCGAGGCCGAAAGGCGUAGUCGAUGGGAAACAGGUUAAUAUUCCUGUACUUGGUGUUACUGCGAAGGGGGGACGGAGAAGGCUAUGUUGGCCGGGCGACGGUUGUCCCGGUUUAAGCGUGUAGGCUGGUUUUCCAGGCAAAUCCGGAAAACUAAGGCUGAGGCGUGAUGACGAGGCACUACGGUGCUGAAGCAACAAAUGCCCUGCUUCCAGGAAAAGCCUCUAAGCAUCAGGUAACAUCAAAUCGUACCCCAAACCGACACAGGUGGUCAGGUAGAGAAUACCAAGGCGCUUGAGAGAACUCGGGUGAAGGAACUAGGCAAAAUGGUGCCGUAACUUCGGGAGAAGGCACGCUGAUAUGUAGGUGAAGUCCCUCGCGGAUGGAGCUGAAAUCAGUCGAAGAUACCAGCUGGCUGCAACUGUUUAUUAAAAACACAGCACUGUGCAAACACGAAAGUGGACGUAUACGGUGUGACGCCUGCCCGGUGCCGGAAGGUUAAUUGAUGGGGUUAGCGGUAACGCGAAGCUCUUGAUCGAAGCCCCGGUAAACGGCGGCCGUAACUAUAACGGUCCUAAGGUAGCGAAAUUCCUUGUCGGGUAAGUUCCGACCUGCACGAAUGGCGUAAUGAUGGCCAGGCUGUCUCCACCCGAGACUCAGUGAAAUUGAACUCGCUGUGAAGAUGCAGUGUACCCGCGGCAAGACGGAAAGACCCCGUGAACCUUUACUAUAGCUUGACACUGAACAUUGAGCCUUGAUGUGUAGGAUAGGUGGGAGGCUUUGAAGUGUGGACGCCAGUCUGCAUGGAGCCGGCCUUGAAAUACCACCCUUUAAUGUUUGAUGUUCUAACGUUGGCCCCUGAUCGGGGUUGCGGACAGUGUCUGGUGGGUAGUUUGACUGGGGCGGUCUCCUCCUAAAGAGUAACGGAGGAGCACGAAGGUUGGCUAAUCCUGGUCGGACAUCAGGAGGUUAGUGCAAUGGCAUAAGCCAGCUUGACUGCGAGCGUGACGGCGCGAGCAGGUGCGAAAGCAGGUCAUAGUGAUCCGGUGGUUCUGAAUGGAAGGGCCAUCGCUCAACGGAUAAAAGGUACUCCGGGGAUAACAGGCUGAUACCGCCCAAGAGUUCAUAUCGACGGCGGUGUUUGGCACCUCGAUGUCGGCUCAUCACAUCCUGGGGCUGAAGUAGGUCCCAAGGGUAUGGCUGUUCGCCAUUUAAAGUGGUACGCGAGCUGGGUUUAGAACGUCGUGAGACAGUUCGGUCCCUAUCUGCCGUGGGCGCUGGAGAACUGAGGGGGGCUGCUCCUAGUACGAGAGGACCGGAGUGGACGCAUCACUGGUGUUCGGGUUGUCAUGCCAAUGGCACUGCCCGGUAGCUAAAUGCGGAAGAGAUAAGUGCUGAAAGCAUCUAAGCACGAAACUUGCCCCGAGAUGAGUUCUCCCUGACUCCUUGAGAGUCCUGAAGGAACGUUGAAGACGACGACGUUGAUAGGCCGGGUGUGUAAGCGCAGCGAUGCGUUGAGCUAACCGGUACUAAUGAACCGUGAGGCUUAACC